RNAcentral lists this ribosomal RNA (433 nucleotides) under uncultured bacterium. RNAcentral's name for it is "partial 16S ribosomal RNA". It matches the Rfam family "Bacterial small subunit ribosomal RNA", at positions 29 to 507 of the family's 1533-position model. The record is from RNAcentral.
AGCGAACGCUGGCGGCAGGCCUAACACAUGCAAGUCGAACGGACCCUUCGGGGUUAGUGGCGGACGGGUGAGUAACACGUGGGAACGUGCCUUUAGGUUCGGAAUAGCUCCUGGAAACGGGUGGUAAUGCCGAAUGUGCCCUUCGGGGGAAAGAUUUAUCGCCUUUAGAGCGGCCCGCGUCUGAUUAGCUAGUUGGUGAGGUAACGGCUCACCAAGGCGACGAUCAGUAGCUGGUCUGAGAGGAUGACCAGCCACACUGGGACUGAGACACGGCCCAGACUCCUACGGGAGGCAGCAGUGGGGAAUCUUGCGCAAUGGGCGAAAGCCUGACGCAGCCAUGCCGCGUGAAUGAUGAAGGUCUUAGGAUUGUAAAAUUCUUUAACCGGGGACGAUAAUGACGGUACCCGGAGAAGAAGCCCCGGCUAACUUCGUG